RNAcentral lists this ribosomal RNA (253 nucleotides) under uncultured bacterium. RNAcentral describes it as "partial 16S ribosomal RNA". It matches the Rfam family "Bacterial small subunit ribosomal RNA", at positions 524 to 776 of the family's 1533-position model. The record is from RNAcentral.
UACGGAAUGUGCAACCGUUAUUCGGAAUCACUGGGCGUAAAGCGUUCGUAGGCGGAGAUUUAAGUGAGAUGUGAAAGCGUGUGGCUCAACCAUAUCGUUGUGUCUCAUACUGGAUUUCUGGAGGAAGGCAGAGGCAAGUGGAAUUGGCAGUGUAGCAGUGAAAUGCGUAGAGAUUGCCAGGAACACCAAUGGCGAAGGCAGCUUGCUGGGCCUUUUCUGACGCUGAGGAACGAAAGCGUGGGGAGCGAACAGG